Molecule: non-coding RNA, 109 nt
Organism: Triticum aestivum (bread wheat)
Lineage: Eukaryota; Viridiplantae; Streptophyta; Magnoliopsida; Poales; Poaceae
Source: Rfam
CUCAUACUCCCUCCGUCCGAAAAUACUUGUCAUCAAAAUGGAUAAAAGGGGAUGUAUCUCCCUUUUAUCCAUUUUGAUGACAAGUAUUUUCGGACGGAGGGAGUACUAA